This 156-nucleotide ribosomal RNA is filed under the name uncultured archaeon. RNAcentral describes it as "partial 16S ribosomal RNA". It matches the Rfam family "Archaeal small subunit ribosomal RNA", at positions 315 to 473 of the family's 1478-position model. The record is from RNAcentral.
UCCAGGCCCUACGGGGCGCACCAGGGGCGAAACUUCCGCAAUGCGGGAAACCGUGACGGAGCCACCCUGAGUGCCACCCGAUGAGGGUGGCUUUUGCCCGGUCUAAAAAGCCGGGCGAAUAAGCGGGGGCAAGCCUGGUGUCAGCCGCCGCGGUAA